Molecule: ribosomal RNA, 301 nt
Filed under: uncultured bacterium
Lineage: Bacteria
Description: partial 16S ribosomal RNA
Rfam family: Bacterial small subunit ribosomal RNA
Source: RNAcentral
CAGCCGCCGCGGGAAUACGUAGGGUGCAAGCGUUAAUCGGAAUUACUGGGCGUAAAGCGUGCGCAGGCGGUUAUGUAAGACAGUUGUGAAAUCCCCGAGCUCAACCUGGGAACUGCAUCUGUGACUGCAUAGCUAGAGUACGGUAGAGGGGGAUGGAAUUCCGCGUGUAGCAGUGAAAUGCGUAGAUAUGCGGAGGAACACCGAUGGCGAAGGCAAUCCCCUGGACCUGUACUGACGCUCAUGCACGAAAGCGUGGGGAGCAAACAGGAUUAGAUACCCCCGUAGUCCCUGUCUCUUAUAC